GAUGAAGAACGCAGCGAAAUGCGAUAAGUAAUGUGAAUUGCAGAAUUCAGUGAAUCAUCGAAUCUUUGAACGCACAUUGCGCCCGCGAGUAUUCUCGCGGGCAUGCCUGUCCGAGCGUCAUUUCAACCCUCAGGGCCCGCCUGCUUCGGCAGGCGCGGCGCUGGUGUUGGGGAUCGUCCUAACCGCCGUCCCCCAAAUACAGUGGCGGUCUCGCUGCAGCCUCCCCUGCGUAGUAGCAACACUCGCAUGCGGAGCGCGGCGCGGCCACGCCGUAAAACCCCCGACUUUCUGAACGUUGACCUCGGAUCAGGUAGGAAUACCCGCUGAACUUAAGCAUAUCAAUAAGCGGAGGA
This 353-nucleotide unclassified non-coding RNA is filed under the name soil metagenome. RNAcentral's name for it is "partial contains 5.8S ribosomal RNA, internal transcribed spacer 2, and large subunit ribosomal RNA". The stretch from base 1 to 120 matches the Rfam family "5.8S ribosomal RNA", at positions 35 to 154 of the family's 154-position model. The record is from RNAcentral.